CUUCCCACCUCACCUUUUCUCUACCUUUUCUCUACCUUUUCGCUACCUUUUCUCUACCCAGCAUCCAAGCUGCGGUGUGGAAAGGUUUUCAGAUAUGACUUUUAACUUGUUCACGGACUAGCGGCCGGCUCCCUCCCUCAGACCGCCAUCAUGGCGGCCGCCUCAGCCGGGCUCCCUCACAGACUCUCGGCCCUCCCUCCCGCCUCACUGUUCAGCACAAAUACCCGUCCGCAGCUCCCUGUUCACCCCUCACCUGGGGUCUUGCACCUACUCCACAUUCCCACUUACUUUCUCCAGAACACGUCUCUGUUUCCUGAAGCAAGGCAGUGGCGGGAAGAUGAGGAACAUUUUGGCGGGAAGAUGAGGAAUCUUGUCGUAACAUGGCGGCCUUCACUGUCACGCACCCUGCUGUAGCCCGCGAGCUGCAUGAGGGGGCUAUGGUCACGCUACUUAACCACAAGGUUGUUAGUUACUCCUGCAAGACAAAACGACCUCAAGUUGCACCUCAAGAUUAAUCCAUCUCUUGCUCUGUCUUCAGUCUUCUCAAUAUUCCCCACAGGUGGAAAACAAGCCAAUGAAAGAAGUGUCUUUUGGGCAUGGCCAAACUCUGUUUCCUUCUCCUUUACGUUGUCUGUCAUGCAGCUUUACCUCUGAGCUGUUUGAUUUGAUGCAUAUCAGCAUCCAGCACUUCAUCACAGCAUGGGGUCCAAAUCAACUAUCAAAAACCUGAAGUAGAACACGCUUUCUCCAGUCUUCUGUCAACCUACCCCAGCCAAAGCUAAGUAGGUAAUGCUGGUAUCAGGAAAUACAGGGAUACUGGAUCAUUCAUUGUUUGGGAGAAGUACUGUGAAGCCCUGCUGUGGUCAUUGCAGCUGUCAGCCUGGUCUGUGGUAUCCAAGACUUACCAAGCUUAAAAACUGUGGCAACACACCAACACCUUUCUGUGAUUCUGCUCAGCUGAAAAUGAAAUUAUUAAAUCAAAUGUGGAGGGUGGAAGGGAGGGGAAGUAAGACCCCCCUCAAAAUAAGCAAUACUUUUUUGCUUCCCAUGACAUGUGAAAUGAGAUAUGUGCUAGAAACUGAAAGGUUGAAAUAUGUUUUCAGGAAUUAAUCAGCACUGAAAACUAUAAAAAUAAAAUAGAGGAUUGGAGUUUCUCAAGGGAACCUACUCAGUAAUGGCAUUAAGGAGCAAGUCAAGACUCUACGAAAACAAACACCAGCAGUGAUAGGGGAAGAUAAAAUCUGGACCCUAGAAUGACAUUUUAAUAGACCUUGGGUGAUACAACAUGGUUUAGCAUAUACCAUAAUACUUAAUUCCCUCUAGAAAUCCACCUCUUAAACAAUGGGGAGGUUGUCUGGCUUUCUAUCCUUCCAUCUUCCCCAAUCAUUUUAAGUUUACGAGCGUUACAAUUUCCAACACAUUUUCCUAUUGAUCCCAUUUACUUUUUUACUUUAUGAUGACAAAACAGUUGCAGAUCAUCUGCUCUCUUGCUUAUUUAUAUUUUUGCUAUUGUUUCUACUAUGUCUUGGCUAAGGCCUCAAGCAGACUCAGAGCUAUGUGUCACUAAGGUUGACAAAACCUCUGUUAACAAGGGUCAAGAUUUUGGAUCCUAAAAGGCAUUAUUUUCAUAAUUUUUCUUUAGUAAUUCUAAUAAAAGUUUACAAUUGUAUCUUAAAGUGUACAAUCUGAAUGAAUGCUUGACACAAAGUUAUUUUGCUUCUCUCUGAAAGAAUAUAUUUUCUUUUUGCUGCCUUAGUACCUGAAGUUGGGAAACAACAGGUUACCAAUGCCACUCUGCAUUUACCUGUCCCACCCUUGCUGCACAGUUCUGGUUGAGAUCUAAACAGAUGAGGGAUGGAAAACAGAAUAAAUCUUGGGAUGAAUCCCUUAAUUUGACCUAGCCACUGAUAUUCCAAAGAUCUUUUCUGCCACCAAAAAAAAAAAAAAAAAAAAAAA
Molecule: long non-coding RNA, 1956 nt
Organism: Passer domesticus (house sparrow)
Lineage: Eukaryota; Metazoa; Chordata; Aves; Passeriformes; Passeridae
Exons: 4
Source: RefSeq, a predicted model, not a curated record